UACCAGCACCCCGAGUGGUCGGGACGAUUAUUGGGCCUAAAGCAUCCGUAGCCGGUUCUACAAGUCUUCCGUUAAAUCCACCUGCUCAACGGAUGGGCUGCGGAGGAUACCGCAGAGCUAGGAGGCGGGAGAGGCAAACGGUACUCAGUGGGUAGGGGUAAAAUCCAUUGAUCUACUGAAGGCCACCAGUGGCGAAGGCGGUUUGCCAGAACGCGCUCGACGGUGAGGGAUGAAAGCUGGGGGAGCAAACCGG
This 253-nucleotide ribosomal RNA is filed under the name uncultured bacterium. RNAcentral describes it as "partial 16S ribosomal RNA". It matches the Rfam family "Archaeal small subunit ribosomal RNA", at positions 474 to 727 of the family's 1478-position model. The record is from RNAcentral.